This 496-nucleotide ribosomal RNA is filed under the name uncultured bacterium. RNAcentral describes it as "bacterial SSU rRNA". It matches the Rfam family "Bacterial small subunit ribosomal RNA", at positions 28 to 522 of the family's 1533-position model. The record is from RNAcentral.
GAUGAACGCUAGCGGCAGGCUUAACACAUGCAAGUCGAGGGGCAGCACGGGUAGCAAUACCUGGUGGCGACCGGCAAACGGGUGCGGAACACGUACGCAACAUACCUUUUACUGGGGCAUAGCCUUCUGAAAAGAAGAUUAACACCCCAUAAUAUCAAUGACUGGCAUCAGUUGAUGAUUAAAAUUUAUGGUAAGAGAUUGGCGUGCGUCCUAUUAGCUAGNGGUAUGGGUAAUGGCCUACCAAGGCGACGAUAGGUAGCUGGUGUGAGAGCACGACCAGCCACACGGGCACUGAGACACGGGCCCGACUCCUACGGGAGGCAGCAGUGAGGAAUAUUGGUCAAUGGACGAGAGUCUGAACCAGCCAUGCCGCGUGAAGGAUGAAGGCGUUCUGCGUUGUAAACUUCUUUUAUCUGGGAAGAAACCCCUUUUUUCUAAGAGGGCCGACGGUCCAGAGGAAUAAGCACCGGCUAACUCCGUGCCAGCAGCCGCCGCC